AUUGAACGCUGGCGGCAUGCCUUACACAUGCAAGUCGAACGGCAGCACGGACUUCGGUCUGGUGGCGAGUGGCGAACGGGUGAGUAAUACAUCGGAACGUGCCCAGUAAUGGGGGAUAGCUCGGCGAAAGCCGGAUUAAUACCGCAUACGCCCUGAGGGGGAAGGUGGGGGACCGCAAGGCCUCACUUUCUUGGAGGGGCCGAUGGCUGAGUAGCUAGUUGGUUAGGUAAAGGCUCACCAAGGCGACGAUCAGUAGCUGGUCUGAGCGGACGAUCAGCCACACUGGGACUGCGACACGGCCCAGACUCCUACGGGAGGCAGCAGUGGGGAAUUUUGGACAAUGGGCGCAAGCCUGAUCCAGCAAUGCCGCGUGUGCGAAGAAGGCCUUCGGGUUGUAAAGCACUUUUGUCAGGAAAGAAAGCCAUUGGGUUAAUACCCUGAUGGGAUGACGGUACCUGAAGAAUAAGCACCGGCUAACUACGUGCCAGCCGCCGCGGUAA
Molecule: ribosomal RNA, 500 nt
Filed under: uncultured bacterium
Lineage: Bacteria
Description: partial 16S ribosomal RNA
Rfam family: Bacterial small subunit ribosomal RNA
Source: RNAcentral